AUGGGUCGUCGAACCCUAGACCCCUUUCCCCAAUCCCACGACCGCCUCCAUCCUCUCGUGCUCCACCCCGAGCGUGCCCGGGCUCCGCCUCCUCCUCCACCAUCCCUUCUCUUCUCAAUCUUCCUCCUGUCGCAGCCGCCUCCUGUUCUCCCUCUCUUCCUCCUCCUCGCCCCAGGCGACCCCUCUCGCGCUGCUCAUCUCCACCUCAUAUGUGGCAUCUUCACUGCCGCCAUAGAUCGAGGAGGACGGCGUGAUGACGACCAUGAUGCAUCGGACAUCCCGAUCGAUGACACCAUGGAAGCCAUGAGAGCUGGCCGAGGAAAAGGGGGCAGGGCCAUAGGCCAUGAAGGGCACGGCGGCUGUGGGCGGAAGCAGCAUGGGUUGAAGGAGCAGCGGAUGUGGGCGGGGUCGGAGGUUGGGGGAGACUCGUCGGCUGGGCGACAGCGAGUGCCGGUUCUACGAUCUAUUGCAUCUCCGUUCUCGUUAAGGUUAGCUGCUCUAUUUCCUAGGAGAGGGGAGGCGGCCAAUGACAGGGAGAAGGAUCAGGCCGUCGAGGAGUGCAAGCAGAAGAAUAAAUAG
RNAcentral lists this ribosomal RNA (579 nucleotides) under Triticum aestivum (bread wheat). RNAcentral describes it as "partial small subunit ribosomal RNA". The record is from RNAcentral. Lineage: Eukaryota; Viridiplantae; Streptophyta; Magnoliopsida; Poales; Poaceae.